CGCCGAAAAAAUGAUAAAGGAGGGGUUCGGCAAAACAGGAAACGUGAAAGUCUUCCCAUGAACAUAAAAACAAGAAAGCAGAUGUAAAAGCCUGCCAAGAACAUGCGGAAGUGAAGCCAAAAUGGGCUUAUCUGCACAAGAAUAGAAACAUAUUUGCAAGUCAAAAAUGUGGAAAUAUCCUUUCAUAGCCCUGGAGAGAAUUUGGAUGAAAACACUUGUUGUUUUUAAAUUAAUCUGUUUAUUUUAUACUUGUUUUUCAGUGUUUGAACCUCGUUCUGUUCAGCCAGGUUUUUUGGUAUCUUAUUCCACUUAUUUGGUCUCUACAGCUUUGUUUUCUUUCCAUCUUCCAGUAAAAGUUUGCAGGCAAAAAUCAGCUUGUCAGUGAUCAUCCAUGGAUAGAAAAAGAGGGAGCAGCAGGAGGAGAUAUUAACAUUUAAGUGGACUCCUGCCAUAACAGUCCCAGGGAUUUGUGUCUCCUCUGCACUGUGGAGCUCAAACGAAAGUAUUUGUGCGACGAAAGCACGAGCGGGUCAUUGGCUGUCCUGAGAGAACAGCUCCUCCUUCAGACGAUAGUAACGCCCUUUUUUGGCCAUCAGCUCACUGUGCGUCCCCUCCUCUACGACCUCGCCGUUCUCCAAGAAGAUGAUGUGAUCGGCCUGCUCCACAGUCUUCAGCUGAUGAGCCACGACCAGCACCGUCCGGCCACGAGCAAAAAUCUCCUUCAGCACCUGAACACAGAAAUAUGAGGCCACUUCACAAACACAAUUCUUUUGUGGACCUCUUCCCCUCUUUGGCUGGAGAGCAAACACCAACUGAUACGACUCUGGAGUGAAGGACGCGAGCUGACAAGUUUCCAAACCUGAAGGCGGUGGAUCGGGUGAUGAGCGGGACCAGGGUGAGACUGUCCUGAGUCAUCUGGGGUGAACAUACUCACAUCAGGUGUGGGCCACUGUGUGGAUUAAUGGAUUUGCAACCCCGUGACUUUGUCCCCUUCCAAAACAAAAUAACUUUGAAGGAUCUGCAUUUUGACACAUACUAGAGGUACAAGUUCAGGUGCACUUCAUCAAAGAGAUUAAAAAUCAUGAUGGAAGCGGUCCAGACUCGCCUGAGAGGAACAGGAGACCAGCCAAAUCUAAAUCAGGAGAGGUUUGCUUUUUCUUUUUGUGUUAUUGGCCCACUGCCCAAACUUUCUCAUCGCCAGAUGUGUAAGAGCAGCUGCUUGACUCACACCCACACACAGAGAAAACCCAUUCACGCUUCUUGCAUGCAGGAUUUCCUUGUUUGGUCACCGUGAGGAAAGCUGAGGGUCGUAUGGAAGUUUCUGAGCUUUAUUUUUAUGUACGUACUGAAUGCUGCGCCUCGACAUCCAGUUUACUGGUUGCUUCAUCCAGAAUGAUGACCUGCGGGUCUCGAACCAGAGCUCUGAUCACGGCGAUGCACUGCUUCUGUCCUCCUGCAAGACGACCCCCACCUUCUCCUACAUCUGAGAGGACAAAUAACACAGACCAAGGUUAGAGUGGAAAACAUGCACCUGCUUCAGGUUUUUCCAUCACAACUUUACAGUUAAUCAUUACUGAAACAUAGCUCGUGGUUUACCUGGCUACCAGCUUCCAGCUGGAUAUUUUACAACUGUAAAAUCUGACUUUCCUUACUUCACAUCUGUCAGAAAAAGUUAAUAUUAACUUUCAUAAACCUAUCUGCAGCUCACCAUGAUCUAUUUUAAACAUGUGCCUCUGUACUUGAUUAUUUUGUCAACUGACUUGAGCAUUUUCUCCUUGUUAGAUCACCUCUGUAGCUAUCAUAUAUUUUUAUUUCCUGAUGUAAUGAAAAGAAAAAACACCCACAAGGGGCUUAUAAGAGAAAUAUCUCACUGCAAUAUGCAGUAUGAGUAGAUAGAGAAGUAAUGUAAAGAAAGGCAAUCAAGCAAAAGUAAACAACAUGAAUCAGAAUUUUUCCAUGUUGUAGGUAUGUACUCAUUAAUAACACUCUUCAAAUUUCAGUGAUUAUUUUCACCGCUGUGGGCAAAGUUAAUAUGCAGAAGCGUGCUGGUCUUUCAGGGGUGGGAUUUCGUUUUCCCAAGGGGUCACAUGAUAAACUGGGACUGCUGUGGACCAAUAAGCUGAACUCAGUUCGUCUCAAUGUUAAUUUUAUCUCUUUAAAAGCUACUGUUAUUACUUUUCUGCUCUACUCCACAUUCCUGGAAACUGAGGACAUUUCUCUUCAAAAUAAAAGUUGUGCAUUAAUGACACAUUUCAAAAGGAGCAACAGACAAUUAUGUCAUAUAGAAAAGGCAAGCAACCUGCUCGAGGUUCACAGUGCCAGCGGUUACCAGGGGCUCACUGACAGCUCUUUAGGCUUUUGAUUAGCUUUAGCAACAACUCAGAACUGGUCAGGUAAUGCUCAUUUUUCCACUGUAACCAGUGGUUGGCAGGCAGUUGCCAAGUGGUCUCUAGACCCGUGUGAUUGAGGUGAGGCACAAUACCACAGAUGGCUCUGUACCUGUGUUGUACUCGUUCUCCAUUUCAGAGAUGAAGUCGUGUGCGUUGACAUUAUUUGCAGUUUCUUUCACCUUCUCGAUGCCGCAAUCCUGCAGGCCGUAUUCAAUGUUGUAUCUCAGGGAACCAGAGAACAGCACGGGAUUCUGGGAAACCAGGGUUACCUGGACGAAGAAAGGAUUAAUGUGGUUUCACCAUUUAAACAAUUAAAGCAAAUAAGCUGACGCGUCUCACAAGAACAAAACCUGAGAGUCAAAGUUUUGUUGGGGUACAUGUGGAAACAAGGAGGUUCACUGUCCACGUGCUAUUUUAAGAUCUAGACCUACUAGUAAAUCAAAUACACUUACACCCUCGUCCCCAGAACUGGUCCAGCAGCUCCAGUCAAACAAAAAUCUUCCAGCCUCAAAACUCUGAAGAGUGUUUGAGCUGAAGUCAAGACUAGACACGGCAGCUUUCCAAGCAAGAAAAGCCUUUACAGAAACCCUCUGACGACCUCUUUGUGUCAUUCAUUUGAGGAACCGAGGUCUGUGACUUGAAGCUGAUGUUAGAUUAGACCCACUGUUUUAAACAUUAACUGCAUCUAUAUCUAACAUACGAUUGCAUGUUUGCAUCAAUUAAAGACACAUUAAGUACUGAGAUCAUAUGUACCAGGAGCAUCCCUACAUUAUUUGAUUUAGUACAAUGGUUUAAACCGGCUGAGCCGUCUGUACCUUUUGAUGGAAAUAUUUGUGUUUGUAAAGGUGGAGCGGCUUUCCAUCCAGCAGGAUCUCACCCUCCUGGGGCUCAUACAGCCUCUUCAGGAGGCUGACACAGGUGGUCUUUCCACUGCCGGAGGGACCCACCAACGCCGUCAUCUUCCCUGGCUGCAGCUCCAUCGACACUGACUGGAGAGAAGACGUCAGUGCAGCAUUUAUAAAUCUGUCCACCUCUCACAAAUUAAUGAUUAACACCAUUCCAACAGUGACACUGUAGGACGAACACAACCAUCACUGUAACACUAGGAAACUGUUACCUUCAGGGCAAGUUUCUCUUGAUAUUUGAAGGUGACGUUUUGGAAAACAAUUCUUCCCUGCAGAUUGUCAGGAGCUAAAUCUCCCUCCUCCUUACACUUGGGUGUCCUGUCCAGGUAGCUGAACACUUUGGAAAUCACUCCAACUGUGGCCACCGUUUCACCAUAGCAGUACAAAAUCUCCUGCGACAUAAAUAACCCCUUGAGUAUCAAAAACAGGCACUACAUGUUAAUAAAUAUCCAGAAUGAUUCGGCUUACCUUUAAAUUGACUGACAUGGGCUUCUGAUACAAGAAGAAGGACACAAGACUGCCGAUGCUGAGCUUUCCGGACGAGAUGAGAGUGCGGGCCUGGAACAGCAUCAGUAUCUUUAUCCCCAGAGACACCAGCUAAAUAAAAAGAGUUUGGAGAGGAGGGUUACUUGCGAAGGAGCUAAAAAACAAACAAAGCAGGAUCCAUUAUCAUGUCAGCACAUAUUAAAUACUGGGGAAAUACUAAAAUGCUUUAAGAAACCAGGGUACCGUUUCUUCUUGGUGCUUAAAUAUUAGCACAUAUGCAGUUAGAGCUGAGAAUGAAACAUGUUCCCUUGCUUGUAACAUGACUGUCGCCUUACCCUCCGCACUAGGAGAAAGACUGAACUGUAGAUUCCUGAACGUCUCUUGACUACGCGCAUCUGCUUCAGAGCCUCCUGAUAUCUCCUGAUUUCGUCUUUCUCGGCCUUGAAGCUGCGGACGGUUUGAAUCCCGCUGACCGUCUGGGAAGCCAGGUCUGCAUUCUGAGCUUGGCAGUCCUGAAUCUGCUCUUUCAGCUCCUGUCAGACAACAAAUCAGGAUCAACAAAUAAAGUCUUCAUGACUCCCACUUUUAAUAUCCUUGAUUCUUUCCAGCUGCAAACAAACAUUUUUCUUCCUGUCAUCAAAAAAAGAUAAAGAAAAGUCUGGCUGUUUCUUCUUCCUUUUGCACCUACCUUAUACAAGGUGCUGUAUUUGUUUUGCACUACAGCUAAGAGUGGCAUCUCUAUGCAGGUGAGCACAGUGAGCUCCCAGGACAGGCGUAACAUCACUACCAACAUGAGGAAGGUUUUUACUGUGCUGCGAACCACGGCGUUAGCAUUCAGCGCUACCGUGCGGCCCAUCCUGUCCACGUCAGAGUGCAGGCGGGAGGAAAGACGACCUGGAUGGUGAAACAGAGAAAAGGACAGAGUUCAGUAAGCGCUUAAAUCUGCACAGCUUCAAUGUUUGUUUUAGAUUAUGAGGCUUUUUAGACACUAGUUUGUCGGGCCAAUUGCAUUUUAAGUUGACGCUCCAUUUACCGAGGGUUAAAUCAGCGUUAAUAUUUUCAUUAGGGGAACCUUUGGCAUUGUUGACCCUGCAAAUUCAUGCAGUCCCUAAAUAUCUUAAUAGACAUGUCGUGCUCCUCUCACCGGGGUUGUUAUCAUCAAAGAACUGCACUUCCUGCUUCAGGAGGGUGUGAAACAGCAAAUGCUUCAGCCUCUUGUUCAGUCUGGCCAAGGUGCACAUAAAUAUACCACCUCUCAUGCCAGAGAAGAGCGCGCUGUUAAGAUGGAAAGACAAAAAAAUCAGAGAGAUGCCAAGUAAAUAAAUGUUCUUCCUACAAAUAUCUGAGAGACAAAGAAAUGGUGGGAACAGUUUUGGUUCAUCACCUUCCGAGAGAAAUGAGAACCAGCUCUCCAAGCGCAUAACCGAAGCCAGCUUCAAGUACUUUACCACUCAGCAUAUCAAUGACCUUCCCCUGAUACAACGGGAUAAACGUAUCACCUGUGAGGAAAGAUGAAUGACAGGUACAAAGGUAAACAGGGACAAAGUCAACAAAUUUAUUAAAAACUUAUUUCGAAAGCAGUAUUAAACCGUAGUGAGUAUUUAAGGACAUGUAGUGUGUGGUGGAAAUCACAUUUGUUACUGACUAGGUUACGAGUGCUGAUGAUAGACUGUAUAUAAAAGACAGACUGUGCAUUUUUAAGCCAGACCCCUCUUUGUAGGGGUUUCUUAGCAGAAGUGACAAAUGUUGGAUGAGCAGGUGGAGUCAGUGUACAGGUGCCGGGACAUGCUGCAGGCACGAAAAGUGCUGUCAUGGUGAAAUCAUCUUGCCCAGCCUAUUUUUUUAAAAUGCCAAAACCUGCACGUGGACCUUAUAAAACAUGCUAAUGUUGACAUAACUCGUCUCUCGUAUUGAUUUGCCCUUUUGUGGACAUAAACGAAUGGUUCAAAUCUGUGCUGGUCUUUGGAACAAAUAUUCCAACGUGGCUAAUUCUGCCAUCCCAGCACACAGACUCAGCAGCAGGAAUCGAUGGUUUUACUCUAUCAGUGAACAAUGAUAGGAGAAAAUCUGCUCUCACAGUCUAAUUUUUACUUAUAUACUGUGUUUUAGAGAGGAUUUGUAGACUCAAAGGUCUCUUCUCUUCCAGCUGAUUAGAAAAAAACCUUAAACAGAGUAAAAGAGAAGUUUUGUUUACUUCUCUGAAUGAAGUAACAUGCAGGACCUUCCAGGUCUAACAGGAUUUGGAAUCCAGGAAGAAAAAGACAAAUACAUACAUUCAAGGCCUCCUAACCUAUAAACAAACUUCUGCAGCUUCUGUUUCCACUCUGAUGCACACAGAACAGCAAGUCCGGUCUCUUAGAAAUAUUUUAUGAGGGAGUGCUUGCUAACAAGCUUGCCCUCCACCCUCUGAUCCUAACACGGCUACUUCUGCCUGCAUGUUUCUGAUCCAUAAGUCUUACACUGUAAUAAACACAUGUGCUCUAUCUAACACACUAUAAAAUGGGAAUGUUUUAUACUUACAGAUGACUCCUAAGAUGAGGAAACUGAACGCCGCGAUCAGGUAGAGAGUGUCUGGUUUGAAAUAUUUUAAUGUCCUCAUAAGCAGCCCACUGGUAUCCAGUUUGACGCUGUCCGUUUUUGUUUUUCCAUUCCCACUGAGGCCCUUUUCCCAAAUUAAACAGGCCAGAGAUGAGGCCAUCGGGCCCAAGAGGAGCAUGCUGAGAUUGGGAGAUGGGCCCGAGUAAGGCUCAGAUGGAGAUGCUUUAAGGAAGCGUCCACUUUCAAACACGGGAGGAAGAAGGCAAAGGAGCGCCACCAACCUGUGGAGGACAGGCUGGGGCUUUCCAUCAGUCAACACAGAGGUGAAAACAUGGAGGAAAACCCAUUUUACAGCUCCAAAGGCCCACACGCCUUCCAGUCCACCACAGCUGGAGCAGUCGAGCAGCAGCAGCCCGGUCCACAUCGAUGAACCCAGAACUGCAUCGAAAACAAGGACGAAAAAUCCCGAGGCUGCCACGUCCGUCAUUUUACCCUCGGUUGGCGGUGAAAACGCAGGAGGCUCAAUCGGAUCCUACAACAGAAAGUAUUACAGUCACUCAGAAAAGAUAUGUUAAAAUCUAGAUUUACUUUAUCAGGAAAACAAUUAUAUUUCCCAAACGUGUGUCUUUUUGUAAAAUAUUUAACUAUUAAUCCCAAUCAUCUCAAUGACAGUGGAAACUGCCAGAGGGGGAAAAUCAGGCAAACAGGAGUUAAGGUUCAGAGUUAACUAUUGCAGGAAAAUAGUUAAAUCAGAUUGAAAAGCUUCUACUUCAACCAAAAACCGUUCAUACAGGAAGCAAACGGCCAUUACCUUCAAGGUGAGCGACUAACAAGGAGUGCACAGGAAACCAC
Molecule: long non-coding RNA, 7171 nt
Organism: Haplochromis burtoni (Burton's mouthbrooder)
Lineage: Eukaryota; Metazoa; Chordata; Actinopteri; Cichliformes; Cichlidae
Exons: 4
Source: RefSeq, a predicted model, not a curated record